UACGAAGGUCCCAAGCGUUAUCCGGAUUUAUUGGGUUUAAAGGGUGCGUAGGCGGACUAUUAAGUCAGUGGUGAAAGCUUCCUGCAUAACGGGAAAAUUGCCAUUGAUACUGAUGGUCUUGAGUACAUUUGAGGUGGGCGGAAUGUGUCAUGUAGCGGUGAAAUGCUUAGAUAUGACACAGAACACCGAUUGCGAAGGCAGCUCACUAAACUGUAACUGACGCUGAGGCACGAAAGCGCGGGGAGCAAACAGG
RNAcentral lists this ribosomal RNA (253 nucleotides) under uncultured bacterium. RNAcentral describes it as "partial 16S ribosomal RNA". It matches the Rfam family "Bacterial small subunit ribosomal RNA", at positions 524 to 776 of the family's 1533-position model. The record is from RNAcentral.